Molecule: non-coding RNA, 599 nt
Filed under: Linnemannia elongata AG-77
Lineage: Eukaryota; Fungi; Mortierellomycota; Mortierellomycetes; Mortierellales; Mortierellaceae
Description: Mortierella elongata AG-77 Eukaryotic large subunit ribosomal RNA
Rfam family: Eukaryotic large subunit ribosomal RNA
Source: Rfam by way of RNAcentral
UCUUCAGUCGCAGAAACUUAUGAAGCGAUAACUGGCUUGUGGUAGCCAAGCGUUCAUAACGACGUUGCUUUUUGAUUCUUCGAUGUCGGCUCUUCCUAUCAUACUGAGGCAGCACUCAGUAAGCGUUGAAUUGUUCACCCACUAAUAGGGAACAUGACCUGGCGUUUAGGCUGUCGUGAGAUAGGUUUGUUUUACCCUACUGAUGACAUGUUAUUGCAAUAGUAAUUGAACUUUACCCUCGAGGAACCGUUCAUUCGGAUAAUUGGUAUUUGGGCCUGUCUGAGCAGGCAACGGCCCGAAGCUAUCAUCCGUUGGGUUAUGGCUGAACGCCUCUAAGUCAGAAUCCGUGCUAGAACGCGACGAUUACCACCUUUUCCGAUUUUUAGUUGAAUACGAAUAGAUCUUCAGAUCAUGAAUCAUAUUACGUGGGGUUAUCUUGCAGAGCGGAAAGGCUUUGUGAGGUUUCUGCUAAUGUUAAUUUCAAAUAUUGGAAGAGAUAAAUCCAUUGCAGACGACUUUAAUUGAACGGGGUAUUGUAAGCAGUAGAGUAGCCUUAUUGCUACGAUCUGCUGAGAUUAUGCCCAUUGUUCUAUAGAUUU